GAUGAAGAACGUAGCGAAAUGCGAUAAGUAGUGUGAAUUGCAGAAUUCAGUGAAUCAUCGAAUCUUUGAACGCACAUUGCGCCCCUUGGUAUUCCGAGGGGCAUGCCUGUUCGAGCGUCAUUAUAACCCCUCAAGCUAAGCUUGGUGUUGGGGCCUGCUGCACUGGCAGCCCUUAAAAUCAGUGGCGGCGCCAUCUGGCUCUAAGCGUAGUAAUUCUUCUCGCUAUGGAGUCCUGGUGGAUGCUUGCCAUCAACCCCCAAUUUUUCUAUGGUUGACCUCGGAUCAGGUAGGGAUACCCGCUGAACUUAAGCAUAUCAAUAAGCGGAGGA
This 329-nucleotide unclassified non-coding RNA is filed under the name soil metagenome. RNAcentral describes it as "partial contains 5.8S ribosomal RNA, internal transcribed spacer 2, and large subunit ribosomal RNA". The stretch from base 1 to 120 matches the Rfam family "5.8S ribosomal RNA", at positions 35 to 154 of the family's 154-position model. The record is from RNAcentral.